RNAcentral lists this long non-coding RNA (435 nucleotides) under Homo sapiens (human). RNAcentral describes it as "HSALNT0343138". The record is from RNAcentral. Lineage: Eukaryota; Metazoa; Chordata; Mammalia; Primates; Hominidae.
UUAACUUUAAAUAAUUGGUUUGAUUGAUUUCCCCUCUGCCACCUUGAGUUGAUUAUAUUAAUUUUAGAUAAUAUCAUUCCCAAACUUUAAUCCAAGGACAAUUGUAGGAUUGGCUGCAUAAGAAUCACCUUGGGAGCUUUACAAUAAAUACACACUCUUGGUACCUAUUUCCAGUCCUUCAGAUUCAGAAGGCCCUGGCGCAGGAAUCUUUAACAAAGGUCAAUUUACACUAAUGGCGACAGUCUUAAAUUUGCCACAUCUAACCCCAAACUGGCCACUCAGAUGAUAGAUUUCUAUAGUUUCCUUUGGAUGUCUUGCUCUGAUCACCUUGGUGAUUUUUCAGUCAGAUUACUUUAUCCAUCCUUAUAAUUUAGCAUGUAUAACACUGGAACAAUUUCAGAGCACUGGCUUCUAAGUCCAUGGGGCAAGUGGGAU